UACCUAUUGAUCACUUGGCUGUUUC
Molecule: microRNA, 25 nt
Filed under: Gadus morhua (Atlantic cod)
Lineage: Eukaryota; Metazoa; Chordata; Actinopteri; Gadiformes; Gadidae
Description: gmo-miR-11282-5p
Source: miRBase by way of RNAcentral